RNAcentral lists this ribosomal RNA (292 nucleotides) under uncultured Desulfobulbus sp. RNAcentral describes it as "partial 16S ribosomal RNA". It matches the Rfam family "Bacterial small subunit ribosomal RNA", at positions 1093 to 1382 of the family's 1533-position model. The record is from RNAcentral. Lineage: Bacteria; Pseudomonadati; Thermodesulfobacteriota; Desulfobulbia; Desulfobulbales; Desulfobulbaceae.
CGAGCGCAACCCUUGCCUUUAGUUGUCCACGCAGUUCGGGCUGGGCACUCUAAAGGGACUGCCGGUGUUAAACCGGAGGAAGGUGGGGAUGACGUCAAGUCCUCAUGGCCUUUAUGACCAGGGCUACACACGUACUACAAUGGCCGAUACAAAGGGCAGCGACACUGCGAGGUGAAGCCAAUCCCGUAAAAUCGGUCUCAGUCCGGAUUGGAGUCUGCAACUCGACUCCAUGAAGUUGGAAUCGCUAGUAAUCGUGGAUCAGCAUGCCACGGUGAAUACGUUCCCGGGCCUU